UCUUGGUUUUCAGAGGGUGGCUGUGGGGAAGCAGUAGCUUGAAAUAGAAGAGUCCAUGGUUAACAUGCUGAGGAACUAAUACAGAAUGGAUCUGAGAACACAUUCAGAACCUACUCUCCUGGCAGACUCAACGGACUGGAGCAAACUCUGCAGUGGACUUAGGUCUUUGAUUCCUCUGAAUUUACACCCUCCCAGUCGUACAGGCAGACUGCCUACUCAUAUUUAAAGCAAACAGAAGCACAUGUCACUUUGAACUUCUUCCCUUGCUCCUCCUGGUACCACCAGCUCUGGAUCAGCCCAUGUCUUCAGACUAUUGUCUGAACAUGACAGAGUUCCCAGAACCCAUGCCUCUCACACAGCAACAGACUUGCUGCUGGGGGGGCUGCCUGGGGAAGAAACACCUGCAAGGAGCCACAGCUGCGGUGGGAGCUUCUCUCCUAAUGCUCUGUUUAGGAUUACAGCACUCCAGAGCAUCACAUUACCCCAGUGGCUGCACUGAAACCUGGUAUUAAUUCACAUUAGCAAGGAUCAGAUUUAGCAUGUUGGGAGAAGGAGGACUGUUAUUAUUUUUUUUAAAUCUGCUGGAGCAAACUCCUAGGGCUGCUCUUUCAUUGGUCAAGGCAAGGACCAGAGAAGUUUCUUUGUUCCUCCCCACCACUGGCCACUUGCCCCAUCCCCUCGUGCAUGAAUGCCUCUAAACACAGGCGUUUGUUUUCAUGGUGGCAUUAUUUACUUAUUUUCAUUUUCAAUGUGCUAAAGACAGUAACUUUCAAAGCAAAUUUAAGAAUGUUGUGGAAUUGCUUUGAAUUGCAGUGCAGCAGAACGGGAUCUUCCAAUAUUGGGAAGACAGCAAUAGAGAGGUGGCAAAUCACCUCUUGUUCAUGCCCAUGAUGGAUUAUAUACCAAGAUCAGAAAAAGGAAAAAGAGUCCAAGCAGUUAGGGCACUAACUACUUUCAGAGGUAGGCUAUGGAGACAUCAUCACUGGAUAAUACUAAAAAUCUAAGUUGGGUAAAUCUGAUGUUGUCUUUGGUAGGGACAUGCUACACACCCUUUAAAACCCUUUCUAAUGCAGCAAUUAUGAGGGUGGAGUUAGUUUUCUCACCUAAAAACUUCUGGUUGGAUUCUUUUCUUCCUUUUUCUUCCCUUUUCCUCCCCACACAAACUCCUCUUUACUGGGUGUUGUUAUGGCUGUUUCCAUCUGAGGAGUACAUAUUCCCCAGGUUUAUCUGUUGCACCUAGAGUGGGGUGUUUAGUUGUCCUUCUAUGGCCUUGUGACACCACCCUUGUGUUUUUCCAAGCAAUGGGCCAUCCUACAUACAUAUAAUUGACCCCCAAUUUCAGCUGGUGCCUCUUGAAUCCACAGGAACAUAAAUAUCAGUAGCAACAUAAUAUAGCUAUCCGUUAAAUAUCACCUGAAUGCCUUUGUAGAGCCUUGGAAUGAAUAAGAAAAAAGAAGUGGAUUUGAAUGGUAGCCUGCAGAGACUGCAAAUCCCAACCACGUUUGUUCAUUUUAUUUACAGUUUCAGAAUUAUCUUGAAAUGUCAUUAAUAUCUGCUGUGCUACAUGAUGAAUUCUUAGAUAUAGGGGGUAAACUAGAAUAGUAGAGCUGGAGACAAGACAUGAAGUCUGGUGUUGAAUACAGUGCCAGGGGUGAAGAACAAGGGGUAGCACAUCAUCUGCUGACCCUUGCAUGACAUUUCAUUGUGUAGAGAAGAGAAUACUUCUGUCGUUUGUUAGAAUGUCAACUCUGUGUAUGGAAAUCUACAGAUCAUCCAGAUUUGUAAAGCCAGAAGAAGACAUCUGAAGGUAGGAUUUCACUUCCUGUACAAACGCAGGCCAUCAAAUUUCAGCUUAUUAGCUCUCUACAGAGCCAUACUAUUUUGUUCCAGAAACUGAGCCAGGAUGAGAAAUCAAGUGCUUUGUGUGAUUCUUUAUUCACUUAAUCUGGUGAACGAUGAUUCCCUUUUCCUGCUGCCCUGGGGUGGACCCGUGCCAUCCCAAUGGGAACUGUAUGCGCUGCAGGGGAAAGUCAAUCUUCCCAGGUCUUACUGGCAUCUCAAGAUCAAAGUACUGUAAGAGCGACCAUCCAUCUUAUCUCAUACAAGCCACACUGCCAUCCUCAGAUGGCAAACAUUGCAGGCAGCUUUGUCAUCGGUCAGUUUAAGAUCAUAUUUAGGGAGUUGGAGUAACGGACUGUCAGAGCCUGUCUGUCUCUGAAAUCAGUGGAGGAAAGUAGCUGCUGCCUGUAUCUUAGUGCAUCUAUGGCAGACAGCUGGGUACAGCUCUUGUUCUUUAUUCCUCUGGUAGAUAUCUUGAGCCAUAAGUAGGUCUCCCACUGAUGGUGUGUUUUCAGCACUGUUGCUUUCCCACUCUCUCUGUGUUCUGACACCCAAAUUUAUUGAUGUUCAUUUUAAUUUUUCUUGGAAAGAAAAAAAAAAGGGAAGGAAAAUCCUACCUUCAAUAUGCACAGGUUUAGAGGGCUCCUGGGAUUACACUUUUGUGUGCACAAGCUGAAGGCAAGACUGCCAAAUUGAUUUAUCUCUUCCGUGUGUUAUCAUGCUCAUACAGGGCAGAAUUAAUGGGCUCCUGAUAGUCACACACAGUGCAGCCUCUCAAUGGCCGUUCUCUCUGGGAAACUCCAGAUACUUCUGAAAA
This is a long non-coding RNA of Numida meleagris (helmeted guineafowl), 2656 nucleotides long. RefSeq lists it as uncharacterized. Lineage: Eukaryota; Metazoa; Chordata; Aves; Galliformes; Numididae. The record is from RefSeq and is a predicted model, not a curated record. The transcript has 3 exons.